GACGAACGCUGGCGGUGUGCUUAACACAUGCAAGUGGUGCGACGAACCAGAGCUUGCUCUGGGGCAAAGCCGCGAACGGGUGAGUAACACGUGGGUAAUCUACCCCGAUGACCGGGACAACCCGAGGAAACUCGGGCUAAUACCGGAUGUGGUACGGAGACAUAAGUCUCUUUACUAAAGGUAGCUUCGGCUUCCGCAUUGGGAGGGGCCCGCGGCCCAUUAGCUAGUUGGUGGGGUCAAGGCCUACCAAGGCAACGAUGGGUAGCUGGUCUGAGAGGACGAUCAGCCACACUGGGACUGAGACACGGCCCAGACUCCUACGGGAGGCAGCAGUGGGGAAUCUUGCGCAAUGUGCGGAAGCGUGACGCAGCAACACCGCGUGAGGGAAGACGGCCUUAGGGUUGUAAACCUCUUUCAGAUGGGACGAAGGUGAUGCGGUGAAUAGCCGAUGUCAUUGACGGUACCGUCAGAAGAAGCUCCGGCUAACUACGUGCCAGCAGCCGCGGUAAU
RNAcentral lists this ribosomal RNA (510 nucleotides) under uncultured bacterium. RNAcentral describes it as "bacterial SSU rRNA". It matches the Rfam family "Bacterial small subunit ribosomal RNA", at positions 28 to 524 of the family's 1533-position model. The record is from RNAcentral.